RNAcentral lists this unclassified non-coding RNA (339 nucleotides) under uncultured fungus. RNAcentral's name for it is "partial contains 5.8S ribosomal RNA and internal transcribed spacer 2". The stretch from base 1 to 133 matches the Rfam family "5.8S ribosomal RNA", at positions 22 to 154 of the family's 154-position model. Lineage: Eukaryota; Fungi. The record is from RNAcentral.
UGGUUCUGGCAUCGAUGAAGAACGCAGCGAAAUGCGAUAAGUAAUGUGAAUUGCAGAAUUCAGUGAAUCAUCGAAUCUUUGAACGCACAUUGCGCCCGCCAGCACUCUGGCGGGCAUGCCUGUUCGAGCGUCAUUUCAACCCUCGGGCCCAUCUGGGCGCGGCGUUGGGGGACGGCUACGGCGCCUUCGGGAGCCCGCCGCCCCUGAAAUACAGUGGCGGUCACGCUGCAGCACCCUCUGCGUAGUAGAAACACCUCGCUCUGGGACGCGGCGCGGCCAUGCCGUAAAACACCCAACUUUCUGAACGUUGACCUCGGAUCAGGUAGGAAUACCCGCUGA